AUGAGAAGGUUGUCUGUCUUCUACGAGAAGAGGAAAUCAAAUACUACCAUAGGUUCAAAGCCGACUUCAUCCUCAGGGGAGAUAGCAAUACAAGAUACUUUCAAUUGGUCGCCAAUGGUCGCCAUAGGAAGAAAUGUAUUCAUAGUCUCCAACAGGAUGAGGGGCGGAUCGAAGGUCAAGAGGAGCUCAAAAUGUAUAUCACCAAAUACUAUAAAUCUCUAUUCGGAGCGCCGGAUGAAGGGAAUGUCACCCUUGACGAGACCCGAACAUCCACAAGUCACGGCAGAAGAGAACGAUAUCAUCACGGCACCUUUCUCAGAAGAGGAGGUGAGAGCGGCUGUGUUCCAAAUGGAACACAAUAAAGCUCAAGGCCCUGAUGGUUUCCCCGCAGAAUUCUAUCAGAAUUUCUGGGAUAUCAUCAAGACUGACCUUUUGGAGUUGUUCAAUUGUCUUCAUGCUGAUCGGCUUGACCUAUUCAGGCUGAAUUUUGGCGAGAUUGUCUUGUUGCCGAAGAUUAAGGAGGCCGAACGGAUCCAACAGUUCAGACCCAUAUGCCUCCUUAAUGUCAGCUUCAAGAUUUUCACCAAAGUGAACAUGAGUGGAGUGAUAUUCAAAAUUGACUUUGAAAAAGCCUAUGACAAGGUUAAAUGGUCUUUCCUCCAAUAG
Molecule: ribosomal RNA, 666 nt
Filed under: Triticum aestivum (bread wheat)
Lineage: Eukaryota; Viridiplantae; Streptophyta; Magnoliopsida; Poales; Poaceae
Description: partial small subunit ribosomal RNA
Source: RNAcentral